This 520-nucleotide ribosomal RNA is filed under the name uncultured cyanobacterium. Its description in RNAcentral is "partial 16S ribosomal RNA". It matches the Rfam family "Bacterial small subunit ribosomal RNA", at positions 343 to 877 of the family's 1533-position model. The record is from RNAcentral. Lineage: Bacteria; Bacillati; Cyanobacteriota.
GGGAGGCAGCAGUGGGGAAUUUUCCGCAAUGGGCGCAAGCCUGACGGAGCAAUACCGCGUGAGGGAGGAAGGUCUGUGGAUUGUAAACCCCUUUUCUCAGGGAAGAAGCUCUGACGGUACCUGAGGAAUAAGCAUCGGCUAACUCCGUGCCAGCAGCCGCGGUAAUACGGAGGANGCAAGCGUUAUCCGGAAUUAUUGGGCGUAAAGCGNCCGCAGGCGNCUANNUAAGUCUGCUUUNAAANACCGGGGCUCANCCCCNUAGGGGGANUGNAANCUGUUNAGCUAGAGUAUGGUAGNGGCAGAGGGAAUUCCCAGUGUANCGGUGAAAUGCGUANAUAUUGGGAAGAACACCAGUGGCGAAGGCGCUCUGCUGGNCCNNGACUGACGCUGAGGGNCGAAAGCUAGGGGAGCGAAAGGGAUUAGAUACCCCUGUAGUCCUAGCUGUAAACGAUGGACACUAGGUGUUGCGCGUAUCGACCCGNNCAGUGCCGUAGCUAACGCGUUAAGUGUCCCGCCUGGC